CUCUUUGCUAUUCGUGCAUUUUAAAACUCCUCGUGCUCUGUGCUUGUGACCUGGGAUUAGGUGAGAGUUGUUUCUGGUACCUACUGGUGGUAGGGAAUUCAAAUUUGAAUUUGGAUUAAAGGUUUUAGGGUUUAUACUUCGGUAUAUGCGCGAUAUACGGAUUAAUUAGAGAGCGGGUGGGUUCCGUCGCGAAUCCGUGACCAAAUCUGACAAAACAAGAUGGUAGUUUGGAUGCCCUCGUUGUGCUGAACGUGAUGGUGCGAUCCGUUCGGAAAUCCGAUGAACGGAUUGUCGGAUAUUGCAUGUUGUUCGCUAAGGGGUCGAAGGUGGCAAAUCGGAAACUUCGCAAAAGUCAUUGUAUUUUAUGUACCGAAUCGCUUGAGAUCGAAUGUGGAGGUGCGUAUGUG
RNAcentral lists this long non-coding RNA (407 nucleotides) under Ananas comosus (pineapple). RNAcentral's name for it is "long non-coding RNA (ACOM_LNC011981)". The record is from RNAcentral. Lineage: Eukaryota; Viridiplantae; Streptophyta; Magnoliopsida; Poales; Bromeliaceae.